This 230-nucleotide long non-coding RNA is filed under the name Phoenix dactylifera (date palm). RNAcentral's name for it is "long non-coding RNA (PDAC_LNC014057)". Lineage: Eukaryota; Viridiplantae; Streptophyta; Magnoliopsida; Arecales; Arecaceae. The record is from RNAcentral.
CAUGAAGUGUCUACCUAAGUAUGCUAAUCUAGGGUGUAGCACACCUCAUCUUCCUAGGCAUGGAUCAUCUUAGACUACUUUAGCAAACAUGAAUAGUAAAUGGCAUGCUCAAGGUUUAAACAUCAUAAAAUAAUUUUUCAUUGAGAAAGAGAAUUUAAACAAACUCCAAAAAGAUUAAAAGAGUAAGAACUACAAUGCCCUGUUACAUUGCUAGGGCUUCAUCCAGCCCU